CCCUUUGGGUGUGACUGCGUACCUUUUGUAUAAUGGGUCAGCGACUUAUAUUCUGUAGCAAGGUUAACCGAAUAGGGGAGCCGGAGGGAAACCGAGUCUUAAUUGGGCGUUAAGUUGCAGGGUAUAGACCCGAAACCCGGUGAUCUAGCCAUGGGCAGGUUGAAGGUUGGGUAACACUAACUGGAGGACCGAACCGACUAAUGUUGAAAAAUUAGCGGAUGACCUGUGGCUGGGGGUGAAAGGCCAAUCAAACCGGGAGAUAGCUGGUUCUCCCCGAAAGCUAUUUAGGUAGCGCCUCGUGAAUUCAUCUCCGGGGGUAGAGCACUGUUUCGGCUAGGGGGCCAUCCCGGCUUACCAACCCGAUGCAAACUGCGAAUACCGGAGAAUGUUAUCACGGGAGACACACGGCGGGUGCUAACGUCCGUCGUGAAGAGGGAAACAACCCAGACCGCCAGCUAAGGUCCCAAAGUCAUGGUUAAGUGGGAAACGAUGUGGGAAGGCCCAGACAGCCAGGAUGUUGGCUUAGAAGCAGCCAUCAUUUAAAGAAAGCGUAAUAGCUCACUGGUCGAGUCGGCCUGCGCGGAAGAUGUAACGGGGCUAAACCAUGCACCGAAGCUGCGGCAGCGAACGUAUCACUUAAAGCGAUUCAGCGGGUUACGAUUGACGGAGCGAAGCGACGUCAAAGCGUAUACAAAGUCGAGUCGGUUUAAGGAUACGUUCGUUGGGUAGGGGAGCGUUC
This 739-nucleotide ribosomal RNA is filed under the name Salmonella enterica subsp. enterica serovar Enteritidis. RNAcentral's name for it is "partial 23S ribosomal RNA". It matches the Rfam family "Bacterial large subunit ribosomal RNA", at positions 582 to 1241 of the family's 2925-position model. Lineage: Bacteria; Pseudomonadati; Pseudomonadota; Gammaproteobacteria; Enterobacterales; Enterobacteriaceae. The record is from RNAcentral.